UGGCUCUCCCAUCGAUGAAGAACGCAGCGAAAUGCGAUAAGUAAUGUGAAUUGCAGAAUUCAGUGAAUCAUCGAAUCUUUGAACGCACCUUGCGCCCUUUGGUAUUCCGAAGGGCAUGCCUGUUUGAGUGUCAUUAAAUUCUCAACCUUGUGAGAUUUUUUUCUUGCGAGGCUUGGAUGUGAGGGUUUUUGCUGGCUUCCUUCAGUUGGAUGGUCUGCUCCCUUCAAAUGCAUUAGUGGGAUCCUUUGUGGAUGGUCACUUGGUGUGAUAAUUAUCUACGCUGCCUGACUCUGAAACAAGACUUGUGGGCACCUGCUUAUAACUGUCUUCUUUGAAGACAAAAAUCUAUCUUGACAAUUUGACCUCAAAUCAGGUAGGACUACCCGCUGA
This 390-nucleotide unclassified non-coding RNA is filed under the name uncultured fungus. RNAcentral's name for it is "partial contains 5.8S ribosomal RNA and internal transcribed spacer 2". The stretch from base 1 to 133 matches the Rfam family "5.8S ribosomal RNA", at positions 22 to 154 of the family's 154-position model. The record is from RNAcentral. Lineage: Eukaryota; Fungi.